RNAcentral lists this ribosomal RNA (253 nucleotides) under uncultured bacterium. RNAcentral's name for it is "partial 16S ribosomal RNA". It matches the Rfam family "Bacterial small subunit ribosomal RNA", at positions 524 to 776 of the family's 1533-position model. The record is from RNAcentral.
UACGUAGGGGGCUAGCGUUGUCCGGAUUUAUUGGGCGUAAAGAGCGUGUAGGCGGCCAGGUAGGUCUGCUGUGAAAACUCGAGGCUCAACCUCGAGACGUCGGCGGAAACCAUCUGGCUAGAGUCCGGAAGAGGAGAGUGGAAUUCCUGGUGUAGCAGUGAAAUGCGUAGAUAUCAGGAGGAACACCGAUGGCGAAGGCAGGUCUCUGGGCUGACACUGACGCUCAUGCACGAAAGCGUGGGGAGCAAACAGG